Molecule: ribosomal RNA, 326 nt
Filed under: uncultured eukaryote
Lineage: Eukaryota
Description: partial 18S ribosomal RNA
Rfam family: Eukaryotic small subunit ribosomal RNA
Source: RNAcentral
CCCUUAGAUGUUCUGGGCUGCACGCGUGCUACACUGAUUACUUCAACAAGUGUUUUAACUGGAGAGUUCGCGUAAUCCUGAAAUGUUAUCGUGAUGGGAGUAGAGUAUUGUAUUUGUUAAUCUUUAACGAGGACUUCCUAGUAAGUGUAGGUUUAUUUGUUUUUUUUUUUACGUCCCUGCCCUUUGUACACACCGCCCGUCGCUACUACCGAUUGAACGGUUUAGUGAGGGCCUCGGAUUGGUCUCGGCCCGCUCUUUACCGGGCGGCGCCGUUGGUCGAGAAGACGCUCGAACUUGAUCGUUUAGAGGAAGUAAAAGUCGUAACA